Spodoptera frugiperda (fall armyworm) is the source of this 106-nucleotide small nuclear RNA. NCBI's taxonomy places the organism in Eukaryota, Metazoa, Arthropoda, Insecta, Lepidoptera, Noctuidae. The record is from RefSeq and is a predicted model, not a curated record.
AAUUGCUUCGGCAGUUAAUAUAGUAAAAUUGUAAUGAUACAGAAAAUAUUAGCAUGGGCCCUGUGCAAGCAAGGACAGAUUGUGAAUUUUGUAAGUGGCUAUUUAA